This 425-nucleotide ribosomal RNA is filed under the name uncultured bacterium. RNAcentral's name for it is "partial 16S ribosomal RNA". It matches the Rfam family "Bacterial small subunit ribosomal RNA", at positions 354 to 796 of the family's 1533-position model. The record is from RNAcentral.
GUGGGGAAUAUUGGACAAUGGGCGAAAGCCUGAUCCAGCAAUGCCGCGUGAGUGAAGAAGGCCUUCGGGUUGUAAAGCUCUUUUACCCGGGAAGAUAAUGACUGUACCGGGAGAAUAAGCCCCGGCUAACUCCGUGCCAGCAGCCGCGGUAAUACGGAGGGGGCUAGCGUUGUUCGGAAUUACUGGGCGUAAAGCGCACGUAGGCGGCUUGGGAAGUUAGGGGUGAAAGCCUGGAGCUCAACUUCCGAAUUGCCCUUAAGACUGCGUCGCUUGAACACGGGAGAGGUGAGUGGAAUUCCGAGUGUAGAGGUGAAAUUCGUAGAUAUUCGGAAGAACACCAGUGGCGAAGGCGGCUCACUGGACCGUAGUUGACGCUGAGGUGCGAAAGCGUGGGGAGCAAACAGGAUUAGAAACCCCGGUAGUCC